CACCAAAUGCCUCCUCCGCAUUCCCUCCGUAUUCCCUGAGCUGGUGGGCAAUAGUCCCCCAAGUCCCCCCCUGUGGUGGACGCACACACAUACACACACACGCACAUACAUACACAUACGCACAUACAUACACACACGCACAUACAUACACAUACGCACAUACAUACACAUACGCACAUACAUACACAUACGCACAUACAUACACAUACGCACAUACAUACACAUACGCACAUACAUACACACACGCACAUACAUACACAUACGCACAUACAUACACAUACGCACAUACAUACACAUACGCACAUACA
This 308-nucleotide long non-coding RNA is filed under the name Volvox carteri. RNAcentral's name for it is "long non-coding RNA (VCAR_LNC001632)". The record is from RNAcentral. Lineage: Eukaryota; Viridiplantae; Chlorophyta; Chlorophyceae; Chlamydomonadales; Volvocaceae.